AUUGAACGCUGGCGGCAGGCCUAACACAUGCAAGUCGAGCGGAUGAAGGGAGCUUGCUCCUGGAUUCAGCGGCGGACGGGUGGGUAAUGCCUAGGAAUCUGCCUGGUAGUGGGGGAUAACGUCCGGAAACGGGCGCUAAUACCGCAUACGUCCUGAGGGAGAAAGUGUGGGAUCUUCGGACCUCACGCUAUCAGAUGAGCCUAGGUCGGAUUAGCUAGUUGGUGGGGUAAAGGCCUACCAAGGCGACGAUCCGUAACUGGUCUGAGAGGAUGAUCAGUCACACUGGAAAUGAGACACGGUCCAGACUCCUACGGGAGGAAGAAGUGGGGAAUAUUGGACAAUGGGCGAAAGCCUGAUCCAGCCAAGCAGCGUGUGUGAAGAAGGUCUUCGGAUUGUAAAGCACUUUAAGUUGGGAGGAAGGGCAGUAAGUUAAUACCUUGCUGUUUUGACGUUACCAACAAAAUAAGCACCGGCUAACUUCGUG
This 484-nucleotide ribosomal RNA is filed under the name uncultured bacterium. Its description in RNAcentral is "partial 16S ribosomal RNA". It matches the Rfam family "Bacterial small subunit ribosomal RNA", at positions 30 to 507 of the family's 1533-position model. The record is from RNAcentral.